UACAGAGGCCCCAAGCGUUGUUCGGAUUCACUGGGCGUAAAGGGUGCGUAGGCGGUCGGGUAAGUCUGAUGUGAAAUCUCACAGCUUAACUGUGGAACUGCAUUGGAUACUACCCGGCUAGAGGAAUGGAGGGGAGACUGGAAUACUUGGUGUAGCAGUGAAAUGCGUAGAUAUCAAGUGGAACACCAGUGGCGAAGGCGAGUCUCUGGACAUUUCCUGACGCUGAGGCACGAAAGCCAGGGGAGCAAACGGG
This 253-nucleotide ribosomal RNA is filed under the name uncultured bacterium. RNAcentral describes it as "partial 16S ribosomal RNA". It matches the Rfam family "Bacterial small subunit ribosomal RNA", at positions 524 to 776 of the family's 1533-position model. The record is from RNAcentral.